Molecule: transfer RNA, 70 nt
Filed under: Crenuchus spilurus (sailfin tetra)
Lineage: Eukaryota; Metazoa; Chordata; Actinopteri; Characiformes; Crenuchidae
Description: tRNA-Trp
Rfam family: tRNA
About the family: Transfer RNA (tRNA) molecules are approximately 80 nucleotides in length. Their secondary structure includes four short double-helical elements and three loops (D, anti-codon, and T loops).
Source: RNAcentral
AAGGGCUUAGGAUAAAUUAGACCAAAAGCCUUCAAAGCUUUAAGCAGAAGUGAGAAUCUUCUAGCCCUUG